ACCUGCCCAAUGAAUAUUAAUUUUAAUGGCCGCGAUAUUUUGAUCGUGCAAAGGUAGCAUAAUCAUUAGUUUCUUAAUUAGGAACUGGUAUGAAAGGUUGAACGAGAAAAAUACUGUCUCAAUUUAAUUUUAUUAGAAUUUUAUUUUUAAGUAAAAAAGCUUAAAUUUAUUUAAAAGACGAGAAGACCCUAUAGAGUUUUAUAUUUUAUUAUAUUAAUAAAAGUUAAAGUAUUUUUUUUUUUAUUAUAAUAAAGUAUUUAGUUGGGGGGACUAAAAAAUUAAAUUAACUUUUUUUAUUUAUUUUACAUUUAUAUAUGAAUAAGUGAUCCAUAAGUUAUGAUUAAAAGAUUAAAUUACCUUAGGGAUAACAGCGUAAUUUUUUUUAAGAGUUCUUAUCGAAAAAAAAGUUUGCGACCUCGAUGUUGG
This 426-nucleotide ribosomal RNA is filed under the name Tiniocellus spinipes. Its description in RNAcentral is "partial large subunit ribosomal RNA". It matches the Rfam family "Bacterial large subunit ribosomal RNA", at positions 1857 to 2535 of the family's 2925-position model. Lineage: Eukaryota; Metazoa; Arthropoda; Insecta; Coleoptera; Scarabaeidae. The record is from RNAcentral.